GAUAAACGCUGGCGGCGCACAUAAGGCAUGCAAGUUGAACGGACUUAAUCGAAAUAUUUAUAUUUUGAAGCGGUUAGUGGCGGACUGGUGAGUAACGCGUAAGGAACCUGCCUAUUAGAGGGGAAUAACAGUGAGAAAUCAUUGCUAAUACCGCAUAUGCCAUAGAUAUCACAUGAUAACAGUGGGAAAGGAGCAAUCCGCUAAUAGAUGGCCUUGCGUCUGAUUAGAUAGUUGGUGGGGUAACGGCCUACCAAGUCGACGAUCAGUAGCCGGACUGAGAGGUUGAACGGCCACAUUGGGACUGAGAUACGGCCCAGACUCCUACGGGAGGCAGCAGUCGGGAAUAUUGCGCAAUGGAGGAAACUCUGACGCAGUGACGCCGCGUAUAGGAAGAAGGUUUUCGGAUUGUAAACUAUUGUCGUUAGGGAAGAGAAAGGACAGUACCUAAGGAGGAAGCUCCGGCUAACUACGUG
This 473-nucleotide ribosomal RNA is filed under the name uncultured bacterium. Its description in RNAcentral is "partial 16S ribosomal RNA". It matches the Rfam family "Bacterial small subunit ribosomal RNA", at positions 28 to 507 of the family's 1533-position model. The record is from RNAcentral.